GACGAACGCUGGCGGCGUGCCUAAUACAUGCAAGUCGAACGCUGAAGGAGGAGCUUGCUUCUCUGGAUGAGUUGCGAACGGGUGAGUAACGCGUAGGUAACCUGCCUGGUAGCGGGGGAUAACUAUUGGAAACGAUAGCUAAUACCGCAUAAGAGUAGAUGUUGCAUGACAUUUACUUAAAAGGUGCAAUUGCAUCACUACCAGAUGGACCUGCGUUGUAUUAGCUAGUUGGUGAGGUAACGGCUCACCAAGGCAACGAUACAUAGCCGACCUGAGAGGGUGAUCGGCCACACUGGGACUGAGACACGGCCCAGACUCCUACGGGAGGCAGCAGUAGGGAAUCUUCGGCAAUGGACGGAAGUCUGACCGAGCAACGCCGCGUGAGUGAAGAAGGGUUUCGGAUCGUAAAGCUCUGUUGUAAGAGAAGAACGAGUGUGAGAGUGGAAAGUUCACACUGUGACGGUAGCUUACCAGAAAGGGACGGCUAACUACGUG
Molecule: ribosomal RNA, 495 nt
Filed under: uncultured bacterium
Lineage: Bacteria
Description: partial 16S ribosomal RNA
Rfam family: Bacterial small subunit ribosomal RNA
Source: RNAcentral